AUUGAACGCUGGCGGCAGGCCUAACACAUGCAAGUCGAGCGGAUGAAGGGAGCUUGCUCCUGGAUUCAGCGGCGGACGGGUGAGUAAUGCCUAGGAAUCUGCCUGGUAGUGGGGGAUAACGUCCGGAAACGGGCGCUAAUACCGCAUACGUCCUGAGGGAGAAAGUGGGGGAUCUUCGGACCUCACGCUAUCAGAUGAGCCUAGGUCGGAUUAGCUAGUUGGUGGGGUAAAGGCCUACCAAGGCGACGAUCCGUAACUGGUCUGAGAGGAUGAUCAGUCACACUGGAACUGAGACACGGUACAGACUCCUACGGGAGGCAGCAGUGGGGAAUAUUGGACAAUGGGCGAAAGCAUGAUCCAGCCAUGCCGCGUGUGUGAAGAAGGUCUUCGGAUUGUAAAGCACUUUAAGUUGGGAGGAAGGGCAGUAAGUUAAUACCUUGCUGUUUUGACGUUACCAACAGAAUAAGCACCGGCUAACUUCGUG
RNAcentral lists this ribosomal RNA (484 nucleotides) under uncultured bacterium. RNAcentral describes it as "partial 16S ribosomal RNA". It matches the Rfam family "Bacterial small subunit ribosomal RNA", at positions 30 to 507 of the family's 1533-position model. The record is from RNAcentral.